RNAcentral lists this ribosomal RNA (459 nucleotides) under uncultured bacterium. Its description in RNAcentral is "partial 16S ribosomal RNA". It matches the Rfam family "Bacterial small subunit ribosomal RNA", at positions 338 to 795 of the family's 1533-position model. The record is from RNAcentral.
CCUACGGGAGACAGCAGUGAGGAAUAUUGGUCAAUGGCCGGAAGGCUGAACCAGCCAAGCCGCGUGAGGGAUGACGGCGCUGAGCGUCGCAGACCUCUUUUGCCGGGGCGCAAAAGUCCGUACUCGUCCGGUCCUCAGGUGACCCGGAGAAAAAGCAUCGGCAAACCACGUGCCAGCAGCCGCGGUAAUACGGAGGAUGCGAGCGUUAUCCGGAUUCAUUUGGUUUAAAGGGUGCGCAGGCGGGCCUUCAAGGCGGCGGUGAAAUCGCGGGGCUCAACCCCGCCGAGCCGUCGGAACUGGGGGCCUUGAGUGCGGCGGAGGCAUGCGGAAUGCGCGGUGUAGCGGUGAAAUGCAUAGAUAUCGCGCAGAACCCCGAUUGCGAAGGCAGCGUGCCGUGCCGCCACUGACGCUGAGGCACGAAAGCGCGGGGAUCGAACAGGAUUAGAUACCCCAGUAGUC